AUUGAACGCUGGCGGCAUGCUUUACACAUGCAAGUCGAACGGCAGCACGGGGGUAACCCUGGUGGCGAGUGGCGAACGGGUGAGUAAUGCAUCGGAACAUAUCUUAAAGUGGGGAAUAACGCAUCGAAAGGUGUGCUAAUACUCCAUAUACUCUAAGGAGGAAAGCGGGGGAUCGAAAGACCUCGUGCUUUAAGGGUGGCCGAUGUCUGAUUAGCUAGUUGGUGGGGUAAAGGCUUACCAAGGCGACGAUCAGUAGCUGGUCUGAGAGGACGAUCAGCCACACUGGGACUGAGACACGGCCCAGACUCCUACGGGAGGCAGCAGUGGGGAAUUUUGGACAAUGGGCGAAAGCCUGAUCCAGCCAUGCCGCGUGAGUGAAGAAGGCCUC
Molecule: ribosomal RNA, 388 nt
Filed under: uncultured bacterium
Lineage: Bacteria
Description: bacterial SSU rRNA
Rfam family: Bacterial small subunit ribosomal RNA
Source: RNAcentral